AAAAGAUGGAUACAACACAAACCCAUAAAAAACUAACAAAGACACGAAGAAAAAAGAUAUCGAGAGGCAGUAGAGUAAAACAGAACUUCAGUAGAGGAGAGCUCCACCUUGCGCUCAAAGACGAGCUUACCGAAAUAGAACUCAUCAACAAUUAACACAAAAUUAGCGGAGCAGCGAGAUAGACUAGACGCACACGAACAUCACCAAACAUAUAAACUGAAUCGAGAGAGGUUAGAAUCCUUAACCGUCGCUGUAAACAUCCUUCAAUCCCAACUAAGUCUCUCCAUUGGACCUUGAGUGUGCUCUCCCCGCGCCUCAUACGCACCAUCACCCCACGGCAAAGCCUAUAAAGGUUUCCCGGAAACGUCUUAUUCACACAGCCGGUAACUGGAUAAUAACCACUCCAAAUCCAUGACAAUCACGAUCAAGACGGCGACAAUCGACCCACGAUGAAGCAAUCGCUCUGAUAUACAUCUAUCUCCUUCCAAGCCAAACACGCACUUCCUCUGAGAACCAGAAGAUGUUUCUACCUCCACCGAAGACUAGAGCCACCACUGGUCAAGCCACAUCCCAAACCCCAUAAGAACUAACAAAGCAAAACCCUAACCGAAGAACCGCAAACAAGAGAUUCUUCAAGCAAUCAGAAAUUGUAUCUCUUCACCAGUGUCGGACCCACACCACCAUCCUAAAACCACUACAAAGACCACUACAAAGCCCAGGCCUUAUGAAUCUCCAACCCGAAUCAAGCAAAAAGGAUCUGAACCACGAACCAGCAGAGACCUCCGCUCUCACCAACCACACGGGCUGCAACCACCUACCACCGUAAGGAUCCGCAUAAGACCCCGACAAAGCAAGAGGUGUCCGAGUCGUUCCCUUCUACUUUACCCCGAGCCGCAGUUAAUACGGAUUAAACACCAGAUCUACAAAA
This 928-nucleotide long non-coding RNA is filed under the name Brassica napus (rape). Its description in RNAcentral is "long non-coding RNA (BNAP_LNC010385)". The record is from RNAcentral. Lineage: Eukaryota; Viridiplantae; Streptophyta; Magnoliopsida; Brassicales; Brassicaceae.